Molecule: ribosomal RNA, 372 nt
Filed under: uncultured bacterium
Lineage: Bacteria
Description: bacterial SSU rRNA
Rfam family: Bacterial small subunit ribosomal RNA
Source: RNAcentral
CUUGCCCUGGGCGAAGCCUGAGCAGCCUGCCGCGUGAAUGAUGAAGGUCUUAGGAUUGUAAAAUUCUUUCCCGGGGACGAUAAUGACGGUUCCCGGAAAAGAAGCCCCGGCUAACUUCUUGCCACAACCGCGGUAUUACUAAGGGGGCUAGCGUUGCUCGGAAUUACUGGGCGUAAAGGGCGCGUAAGCGGAUCGUUAAGUCAGAGGUGAAAUCCCAUGGCUCAACCCUGGAACUGCCUUUGAUACUGGCGAUCUUGACUAUGAUAGAGGUAUGUGGAACUCCGAGUGUAGAGGUGAAAUUCAUAUAUAUUCGGAAGAACACCGGGGGCGAAGGCGACAUACUGGCUCAUUACUGACGCUGAGGCGCGAAAG